Molecule: ribosomal RNA, 254 nt
Filed under: uncultured bacterium
Lineage: Bacteria
Description: partial 16S ribosomal RNA
Rfam family: Bacterial small subunit ribosomal RNA
Source: RNAcentral
UACGGGGGGGGGCAAGCGUUGUUCGGAAUUACUGGGCGUAAAGGGCGCGUAGGCGGCCUGCUAAGUCGGACGUGAAAUCCCCCGGCUCAACCGGGGAACUGCGUCCGAUACUGGUGGGCUCGAAUCCGGGAGAGGGAUGUGGAAUUCCAGGUGUAGCGGUGAAAUGCGUAGAUAUCUGGAGGAACACCGGUGGCGAAGGCGGCAUCCUGGACCGGUAUUGACGCUGAGGCGCGAAAGCCAGGGGAGCAAACGGG